Cyprinus carpio (common carp) is the source of this 2625-nucleotide long non-coding RNA. RefSeq lists it as uncharacterized. NCBI's taxonomy places the organism in Eukaryota, Metazoa, Chordata, Actinopteri, Cypriniformes, Cyprinidae. The transcript is spliced from 13 exons. The record is from RefSeq and is a predicted model, not a curated record.
AUAGAUAGAUAGAUAGAUAGAUAGAUAGAUAGAUAGAUUUCAGUUAACAGUUAUUUUAUUUCAAGUAACAAAAAUGCUACAGUCUAAGGUUCACUGUAAAAACUAUUCAUUCACAGAUGGUGAACUACUAAAGACUCAUGGUUUUGCCCUACGACAGUAGAAUUCCUUUACAAUCCCAGAAUUGUUUUUCUUAGAUGGCAAAAUGCUGCAGUGUGCUCCAGUCUUUAGUCUAUGAGAUUUUUUCACAGCGUGACAGAAGAAAGUCUUACAUCCAGUAGUGCUCCUCAAUAAGUUGCAGUUAUGUCUGUAGCACAAGUGAUGCAGGACAAAGUUAUGUGCAGAAGUUAAUGCUUUUUUUCUUUAUUGGCAUCUAUGGGUUCUGUGAAGAAUCUUAAACAUCUUUAAGAACCUUUACUUUGGGAAACCAAAAAUGGUUCCUCUGUGGCAUUGCUGUGAAAUCUUCUUUAUUUUUUAGGAGAGUAUGAGUGGGAGUAAUAGUGUUGCUUGCUUUGCAAAUGCCACUAAUUCCAUCAUCACCUCACCACAGUGAGAGCAUAAGAAUGCAUGGGAGCAACAGGUAGGCUACUUGUCACCUUUUUCCCUUGUGUAAGCAACCACAGUGGUCCCAAUGUGAUCUCAUCUGAAAUAAACCUGAGGCUUGAAUUAGCCAUGAAUUAGCCAUGCGAAUGUUCUUUUCUAGAUUACCAUUUUCAUCUACUUCUUUCCAGAGCUCUUGCAUCUUCAGCUGCUGCCUGUGACUGCAUUGAGAAACCAGGAGUAUGAGAGUCUAUACAAGUUCUAUACACACUUUAAUCCCAUUCAGACACCGAUCUUCCAUACACUCUACCAUACAGACACCAACGUCCUGCUGGGGGCCCCCACAGGCUCCGGCAAAACCAUCGCUCUGCAGAAACGGCCAUCUUCAGGGUCUUCAACAAGUACCCCACCUCCAAGUUGGUCUACAUUGCUCCUCUCAAAGCUAUGGUCCGAGAGAGGAUUGAGGACUGGAAGAUCAGAAUAGAAGAGAAACUUGGGAGGAAGGUGGUUAAGUUAACAGGUGACGUUACUCCAGACAUGCGGGCCCUCGCGCAGGCUGACCUGAUCGUCACCACUCCAGAGAAAUGGGAGUCAGCUGCAGCUGGCAGAACCGCAACUAUGUGCAGAAAGUGGCUAUUCUCAUCAUAGACAAGAUCCAUCUUCUAGGGUGAGGACAGAGGGCCGGUUCCAGAGGUCAUUGUGUCCAGAACCAACUUUAUCUCAUCGCACACCUCAAAACAAGUGCAAAUAAUGGGACUCUCUAAUGCACGGGAUCUAGUCGACUGGCUGGGCAUUGGACAGGUGGGACUGUUUAAUUUCCUGUCCUCUGUUCGCCCAGUGCCAUUGGAGGUUCAUAUUCAGGGCUUUCCAGGGCAGCAUUAUUGCCCUCAUAUGGCCAGCAUGAACAAACCAGUCUUCCAAGCCAUCCGCACACAUUCUCCUGCCAAACCGGUCCUCAUAUCUGUGUCGUCGCGCCGGCAGACACGGCUCACGGCUCUGGUCCUCAAUGCGUUUCUGGCUGCGGAAGACGACCUCAAACAGUGGCUCCACCAGGAUGAGAGAGAGAGGAAUGAUAUCAUCGGCACUAUAAGAGAGUCAAACCUGAAGCUGACCUUGGCGUUUGGGAUCAGGAUGCAUCAUGCGGGACUUCACGAGUGAGACAGGAAGACAGGAUGAGCUCUUUGUCAACUGUAAGAUCCAGGUGUUAAUUGCAGCUAGCACACUAGCAUGGUGUGUCAGCUUCCCUGCUCACCUGGUGAUCGUGAAGGGCACAGAAAACCAUGACGGAAAGACUCGCCGCUACGUGGAUUACCCCAUAACAGAUGUUCUUCAGAUGAUGGGUCGAGCAGGAACCACCGCAGUUCGACGAUCAGGGCAAGGCUGUUAUCCUUGUGCACGACAUCAAGAAGGACUUCUAUAAGAAGUUCUUGUACAAGGCGUUCCCUGUGGAGGCUAGUCUUCUGUGCGUGCUCUCCGACCACUUGAAUGCAGAAAUCGCAGUAGUGCACAGUCACCUCUAAACAAGACAGCAUGGAUUACAUCAAAUGGAUGUACUUCUUCCGCAGGCUGGUCAUGAACCCCAGGAUGAGCACACCAUCGAGCCGCUGACGUACGGGUGCAUCUCAUCCUACUAUUACCUGAAACACCAGACCAUCCGCAUGUUCAAAGAGCGUCUGAAGCCAGAGCUGCCCGUCCAAGAGCUGCUGGCCAUCCUGUCGUGUACAUGACGGGACGCAAGACACAUUUCAGAAAGAAGGAAGCAGAGGAUUGCGUUGAACUCCCCGUGCACCACAAUGAGGACACAGCAUCUCCCCCUGCAGGUCAACCCUCACUCGUACGACAGCGCGCACACCAAAACACACCUGCUCAUGCGAGAAGGGUCUGGCUGUAGACUUGCACUUGCACUCUCAGACACUUGUGCUUCCACUAGCGACGUCACUUGCAGUCUUUAUUUUUUUAUAUUGUUCUAUUUAUUGAUAACUUUUUGUUUGAAUCUCUCAACAUUUUACAACAGUAGCCAGGUGGUGAAGACAAGAAAAAAGAAACUAAAUUACAAUCGCCACUUGUACUCUCCGCUACCUGUGAUGU